CCUACGGGAGGCAGCAGUGGGGAAUUUUGGACAAUGGACGCAAGUCUGAUCCAGCCAUGCCGCGUGUGGGAAGAAGGCCUUCGGGUUGUAAACCACUUUUGUCAGGGAAGAAACGGCUCGGGUUAAUACCUUGGGCUAAUGACGGUACCUGAAGAAUAAGCACCGGCUAACUACGUGCCAGCAGCCGCGGUAAUACGUAGGGUGCAAGCGUUAAUCGGAAUUACUGGGCGUAAAGCGUGCGCAGGCGGUUAUGCAAGACAGAUGUGAAAUCCCCGGGCUCAACCUGGGAACUGCAUUUGUGACUGCAUGGCUAGAGUACGGUAGAGGGGGAUGGAAUUCCGCGUGUAGCAGUGAAAUGCGUAGAUAUGCGGAGGAACACCGAUGGCGAAGGCAAUCCCCUGGACCUGUACUGACGCUCAUGCACGAAAGCGUCGGGGAGCAAACAGGAUUAGAUACCCUGGUAGUCCACGCCCUAAACGAUGUCAACUGGUUGUUGGGAGGGUUUCUUCUCAGUAACGUAGCUAACGCGUGAAGUUGACCGCCUGGGGAGUACGGCCGCAAGGUUGAAACUUAAAUGAAUUGACGGCNGAGAGNGCGAGACGACACGAGGGAGGAGG
This 617-nucleotide ribosomal RNA is filed under the name uncultured bacterium. RNAcentral's name for it is "bacterial SSU rRNA". It matches the Rfam family "Bacterial small subunit ribosomal RNA", at positions 338 to 951 of the family's 1533-position model. The record is from RNAcentral.